UAUAUGGACUUUUCUGAUACAAUG
This 24-nucleotide microRNA is filed under the name Homo sapiens (human). RNAcentral describes it as "hsa-miR-8076". The record is from miRBase by way of RNAcentral. Lineage: Eukaryota; Metazoa; Chordata; Mammalia; Primates; Hominidae.